RNAcentral lists this long non-coding RNA (16744 nucleotides) under Vitis vinifera (wine grape). RNAcentral's name for it is "long non-coding RNA (VVIN_LNC005856)". Lineage: Eukaryota; Viridiplantae; Streptophyta; Magnoliopsida; Vitales; Vitaceae. The record is from RNAcentral.
UUUUUUUUUUUUUUUUCUCAUGUAUAUAUAGACUAAGAUGGUAUUUAUUUUUUUACUUAAUUCUAAAUACAACCUUAAUACUUAAUAGUAUUAAAUAUUAGGUUAUUUGUUUUUGUAAUAUUUUAUUUCUAUUAAGUAUUAAAAAGUAAAAAAAAUCAUUAUGUUAUUUUUUCUAUUUAGAAAAAGUCACAUAUUCUGUAUUUUUUUAUUUAGUAAAAAAUUUAUAAUAAGUCAUGAAAAAGUAAAAAAACAAACAACCUAAAUUCUAAAACUAAAUGAUUUUUAGCAAAAAGUCAAAAAAAUAAAUAUCACCUAAGUUUUGACGGUUUAGUAAGGAAGUGUUUUUCGAAAUUUUAAACUUUAAAGUUUUAAUAGGGGUUAAAUAUAUUUUACAAUCUCAAUCUUUAAUUUGUUUUAUACUUUUGUACACUCACAUUCAAAGCUCAACCAUUUACCUCUCAAAUUUGUUAAAGUGUAACACUUAACCCCCAAUUUAAAAACAUUCAUUAAAUUAUAAAAAAAAUAUUCUUUUUCACAAUUUGAUUUAAAUACUGAUAUAAUUGAUUGAAGUAAUUUUUUUCAAAUGUCUUUAAAAUAUGACAACAAGCAAUUUUAAUUUUUUAUUUUAAAGAUAUAUUUAUUUAUAUUCAUGAUUUUUGCAUCCAUUGUGAAACAUGGUAGUUGUCACACCCUUGGUUAUCUCACUUAAUUUUUCACAAGUGUGCGGUGCUAAAGACCCUUCCUUAGCCAACCUUCCCUUCCCAGUGUUUAGAAGAACAUAGUAGAAUAUAGAAAUAAACAAACAACAGGGACACACGAGGUUACGGGAAUCUUUUCCCAACUUGUAUUAAUCACUCUUACAAGACAAAAUUGUUUCUUGAACCAUAAUACAAUGCACUCACCUAAGGCAUAUGAGAAGGAACCCUUUCCCCAAACUCUCUUUCUCUGUUUCAAGGCUACAAGAGCCCUAUUUAAAUGACUCAAUCUGCAAUUACAAAUUUGAAUUCCCUCAAUUCAAAUCUUGGAGCCAACUAGGUGGUCAUGCAAUUGGCUAGAACUACUCUCGACUGCCCUGCAUAACCACCCACCACCCCAGAUAGUGGCCUGCACAUGCCACCCACUUGCACCAGCCAUCAUCCUUCAGCCAACUACAAGUCAAUGACGACUUGACUUGGUCACUGGUUUGUCCGAGCUAGCUAUCACUAGCUAGCUGCACUGCCAUCUCCUCAGGUCUUGCUCGCCAAGCUACUGGUAAGUCCCCCUAACAAGCCGACCCCUCCCCCUCAAGGUGUCUCUUAUGACCGGGUGCCCAUCAGUAUGUCUUUGAUCAAGGCCUUCUGAGCCAAGCAGCGUGCACCACCCAUCUGACCAAGCAUCUAGUGCAUUAGUGUGUCUUUCUCACACUAACAUCUGAGCUCGUGCCAUGUCUAAGUGCUCAUGGCUUGAGCUUUGUUACUUGCUUCCCAGCUUCCUAGCAACGAACCAUGGCAUUGCGCCCAUGGCUAAGUCCUUCUUGGUACACAGGUCAUUGCGCCCAUGUGCUCUGCGUAGGCAUCUCGGUGCGAGUCAGCUAUUGGAGCCAUCAGACCAUGGCAUUGUGUCCCUGGUUUCAUCAGCUGGCUCACCGCACAAGGCUUAGGCACCCUCGUGCCUGCGCGGGGAGGGUGUAGGCCGCACCAGGCCUCGUGCCGUUACGGCCACGGAGUGCACAACACACAUGUCGUGGAGCCCAUGUGUGCGUGCUCGAGUCGCGUCGUGUGUCUUUGGCACGCCAAGGCUGUGCCAUGGUGCCCCCUUGGUGCAGUCAAGGCUUCUCUUGGUGGCUCCCUCCUUUGAGUCACCUACCCCCCCCCCCCCCCUUAAAGAGCAAUACAUGUCGUUUUCAUUAUUUCUUGAGGAGACAUCAAUAUGUCUGAGGAUGCAUAAUGGAAUAUAAUUUUAAUUAUAAAUUAAAAUUCAAAAUCAGCCUUCAUCUGCACCACUUAAGUCAGGUGCACGCGCGAUGCCCAUCUGGUAUGCACGCGGUGCAUGUCUGGCUCGCCCGUAUGCGCGCUCGGUGCACGUUUGGCUCGCCCGUGGUGUGCGUCUAGCUCGCCCACGAUGUGCGCACGGUGCGCUUCUGGCUCGCCCUUGGUGUGCGCGCGGUGCGCGUCUAGCUCGCCCGCGGCCUCCUCACAUGGCUCCUGGAGUUUGAACUACCAAACCUCCAGGAUUUCCCUACUUUCAUCCUAAGCUUUCAUGGGUGCAAGGCCUACCCAUGAGACCUAUUCCUCCAUGGUUAAGUCAAGGGUCUAAGGGGCUCGGUAACUUUGAACUUAAAUAAUAUGUGUUUUUAUUUAUAUUUCAACCCAAUUUUUUAACUUAACAUGAUAUUAUCCUUUUUAGUAAGUUUGUGGGGAGAGGGGUUUUAAAUGUGAUUUUUUUAACAAAUUUGGAGGACAAAGUGUUGAGUUUUAAAUAUGAGUAAGCAAAGUGUAAACAAAUAUAAAAGGUUGAUAGGGUUAAAUUUAACCCUACUAUUUUUUAAUUUUUAAUUUUUAUUUUUAUCAAAUUUUACAUAAAACACGAGCCCUAAAAUAUACUCUUAUGAUGCAUCACAAUAUUAGUGUGUAUAUUCAAAUAGAUGCAUAAAAAUAUAUAUUGGAAUUCGUUUUGAGCUUAUCUUUAAUACUUUUUUUAACAAACAAACUCUAGAAAAAAGGAUUUUGCACAAAGGUAUGAAAAAAGAAAAGGGAGAAGAUCAAAGUAAAAGGUAAGUGUGAAAUCAAAUAAUGAAAAUAAUAUUUUAAUUAUAUUAAACAUUUUUUAGAAGGACGGAUCUAUAAAAUUAAUGUUUUAAAGUGAACGUAUGAAUAGAAUUGAUGUGUAGAAUGAUCAUGUGGGUGUAAUUAUAAAUUCUUAUAUUAUAUAAAAUUUCUUUUAAUUAUUUAAUACAAUUUAUAAAAUAUAACGAGAAAAAUCAUUAAUUAGAUCAAGGAAAUCACCCCAAAGAGGACAAAUUUGGUGAUUCAAAGGUUUUCAAAACAGUAAACUAAAAUGCAAAAGUAAUAAGAGAUGAGAAACAAAUUAAUGAUGAUAAAGAGAUAUUGAGAGGAAAAAAAUGCAAACUAUUUAAUAGAGGUGUGAUAAGCCACUUAAGUCCACUUUUCUUCAGCUCUUAAUUGAAUCAAAGUUCUACUAUUUUCAAAACCUUUAUACCUUAUACCUUCAAAUUUUCUAUACUUGGAUUUCAAAGUUCCAAUGGAUUUUCAUAAUUUUUUAAAGUGCUUAACCUACCUGAAUAAAUUCUCCCAUAAGUAGAUAACGAAUGAUUUAAAGAUUCUAAACCUAGCACCAAGUUUAACUCACAAAACAAUAAAAAGAUUAGGAUAGAUGCACUAAGUGAUUUGCAAGUUAAUAAAUUGAUGCACUAUAAAAGGAGCUAUGGAUAAGAAAAAUAAUGCUUUUCAAUUGAAUGCAAUUGUUUUAUGUUUAGUAAAUAUUAUAAAACACUUCAAUCUAUAGGUUUCUAGUUAUGAGAUUCCAAAAGCCACAUAAAGGUUUCAAUCGUUUGAACAAUCGGUUUAAUCAAUUCACUAGCUAUUGGACAUUUAAUACUUGUUAGAUGACCAUCAGAACUCGAAGCCUUGAUCAUUUAAGCAAAUGAUUUGACCGUCUUUUGAUUAGUCAUGGCUAUACCAUAGCUACUAAAUGUCAAAGGUGCACAAAGUGUCUCUCAACUAGUUGAAUCUAAUCGUCUUAAUUGGUUUUUUGAUACCUUAAUUGGUUGUAUUGAAAAGUGUUUAAAAAAAUUUGAUUUUGGGUCUAAAACUUCCGACAACUUAGCCAAACCUACGUAAAAACAUUUUUCAAGUUAGUUUAAAAAGAAAUUAACUAAAGGUUUUAAUCGAAAACAAUAAUUCAUCAAACUCUUUUAUUAAAACGAUUGUUUUAAGCUAAAUAAAAGUAUGAAAAUAAACCUUGGAAUGCAUGCAAAAUGAUGUAAACUCAAGUGCACCAACAAAUAUCAUAUUGCAAUUUAUUUUAGGCCACUCAAAGUCUUUAUGAGUCCAAAGCCUUUAUGGUAUUCACUUUUUUCCAUAAUUAUUUGAACUUUCUUUGAAUUUUCACAAAUAAACCUAAAAACACUUGAUUUAAUCAAUUAAAUAUCUUCAAUCUUGUUUUGUAAUAAUCAAAACCUAGUUAUGAGAACCAUUUGAUUAAUGAAUAAUUUAUGAAAUAAAAAUAAUAUAACCUAUAAUUAAGGGUCUAUUUCAAAUAAGUAUCCCUUAUAAUUAGGUGUCCAUCUUGAUACAUGUUCUAUUUUAUGUUUUCAAUAUGGGGAAAUAUGAGUAUUUUUUUGUAUAACCUAUAGGGGGUGUUUGGUACAUCGGAAUAGGAAAUGGAAAUAAUAUUUUGUUUCCUUUCCUAUUUCUUAGUGGAAUGGAAUGAAUUUGAUGAUUCCAUUUUUAGCAUUUGGAUGAAUUUAGGAAUGCAAGAUUGGAAUGAUUAUUUGUUUCCAUUCUAAUGUUUGAUAAUAAUAGGAAUGGAAAUGAAAAAUAAAUAAAUUUACAAUAAUAUCCUUACAUAUAAUUAAAAAUAUUUUUUUUAUUUUUACUUUUAUUUUAAAAAAAUAAAAUUUGAGAGGUUUUUUGUUAUUAAAUAAUAAGACUAAAAUAUAUAUAUAUACAUACUCAAUAAAUAAAAAAUUAACCAUAAAAAAUCGUAUAACCCUAAUGCACAAAUAUUCAAUUAUUAUUUUUAUUAAAAAUUUGAAUAAUUUGUCAUGCUUAAGUAGUUAUAAAAUUAUAUUUUUCAAAAAAUAAUUAUUUAUUAUAAUAUUUAAAUUCUCAAAGCUAGCAAAUGUUUUUCCUAUUUUCAAAAGAGGAAAUAAAAGAAUUCAAAUUUAUUCUAAUUUUCAACAAGUAUCAUAUCCGAUAAAAUCCAUAACCUUAAAAAAAUUUUGUUUUUAUUUGUUUUUUUCUUUUUAUUUUUUUCCUAACCAUUAAAAAUUUUCAAUAUUGUAAACGCAUGAAAUCCAUUUCUAUUUUUCUCUCUAGUUUCCAUUGAUACAAGCUAAAGAAACAUCAAAGAUUCCAAACAUAAAUUAAUAAAAAAAAAUUAAUCGAUUUAUAGAGAAGAAUAAACACAUAUAAAGAAGUAGAAUAAGAAAGAGAAAAUAAGGUAAACCUGAUCGAAGAUGUAGAAGGGAGUUUUCAGAACCUAGUUGCAGCAAACAAUGAUGAAUCCUAGAUCCAGCAAUCAAAAUGAACAUCCAAAACCCUAUAAAUUAGAAAUUUAUUUUUUAUUUUUUAAAUAUCGUGGAAGGUUUAAUUGAUUCAAUUUGGAAGAAUCACUUGUUACAGAGAAUUGGAUGAUGAGUGGGUCUCUAGCUUUGCAAAGAAGAUAAGAAUUGGAUGAUGAGUGGGUCUUUAGCUUUGCAAAGAAGAUAAGAAGUGGAUGAUGAAUGGAUCUCUACCUUUGCAAAUAAGAUAAACAUCGGGUUUGAAGAACAAGUUAAGAGGGUAAAAUAGUAAUUUAGGUUAUUUUAUAUUAUCAAAUAGGUUUAAUGAAUCAGAAUACCACCUAUUUUUAAUGAAUGCAAAUCCGACUCAUAAGUUGGAUUUGAUUUCUGCCGGAAUAAUUUUUUAUUUUAUUUCCACCUUCUUAACAUUUAUCCAAACAUAGGAAUAAAGGAGAAACGGAAUGAGAUGUCUAUUCCCACUCCCUAUUCCCGUGCACCAACAAAUAUCAUAUUGCAAUUUAUUUUAGGCCACUCAAAGUCUUUAUGAGUCCAAAGCCUUUAUGGUAUUCACUUUUUUCCAUAAUUAUUUGAACUUUCUUUGAAUUUUCACAAAUAAACCUAAAAACACUUGAUUUAAUCAAUUAAAUAUCUUCAAUCUUGUUUUGUAAUAAUCAAAACCUAGUUAUGAGAACCAUUUGAUUAAUGAAUAAUUUAUGAAAUAAAAAUAAUAUAACCUAUAAUUAAGGGUCUAUUUCAAAUAAGUAUCCCUUAUAAUUAGGUGUCCAUCUUGAUACAUGUUCUAUUUUAUGUUUUCAAUAUGGGGAAAUAUGAGUAUUUUUUUGUAUAACCUAUAAGGUUUUUUAGAGGCUUAUCUAAAAAAAAAUGAAGUACUACCUUAAAUUUUAAAAUGUCUUAAAAGUAAUAUUUAAGCAUAUAAGUAAAUUUAUGUUUUGUUAUACUAGUUGUUUUAUUGUUAUAUAUAAGGUUUUUAUUAAAAAAAAAACAAAAAAAAAAUCCAAACAAACACAGGUGAUAAGAUUAUCAAUUUGUAACUAUUUCAAAAUGGAAGAUUUUAACAAUCAUCUUGAAAAUAUAUUUAUAGACCUUGGCCCACACUUUUUAUUUUUUAGGACUUAUUUGGUUAGUGUUUUUGGGUUUUUUUAUUUUGAUAUUUGACCUAAUUUUCAGGCUCAUUUUUAUACCCAUUCGAUUAUCACAUCUAGACCCUUCAUUUUGAAAUUCAAUCCUAAGACCCAUUUUCUACUCCUCUCUUCUUCAACUGCCGUUGUCACUCACUACUUUCCGCCGCCAUUCCCACUUCGUUCUCAUAUUCUGUUUUGUUUUCUUUCUUUUCCUUCCUCUCUUCAUCCCCCCUCUCACGCUGCCACACCCCUCGUCUGUGUCGCCACCCAUCGCAAUAUCUUCGCCUUGCGGCCAUACCUACGACAACCGCAACCACGCGUCACCAUCCUCCAUGCUUCGGUUACCCCUCUGCCUCCAACCGAGCCACUCAUGGCCACCACACUCCUUCAAGCCAUUACCGCCCCUUCUACCAUCAUCUUUUUCCAUCCAUGGGUUUCAUGCUAAGGAGGUUUCCAUCUUGAUUUACAUGAUAACUGUUUUUGUGUUUGCGUUAUUGUCAUAAAUUACGGAUAUGAGCUUGAAUUUGGGUUUAGGCUUUGUUUGAAGGGAGAAUUAUGUUUUAGGGGUAGAUGGGCUAAAUUAACAAAAGAUCCAUAUAACUCUUUAAAUUGAGUUGAAGGAUAUGAAAUAGUAAUGGACAAAUAUACCCUUUAAGAACAUAUAUAAAAUAUUUUAUAAAAUUAAGUUAAAUAAUUUUUUUUCAAUAAUUUUUUUUUCAAAAAUAUUAAAUUAAAUAAAAAUAGUUUUCAAAAAUAUUAAAUUAAAUAAUUUUUUUUUCAAAAAUAUUAAAUUAAUUGUUUUUUCAAAAAUAUUAAAUUAAAUUAAAGUAUUUAAAAAAAUAUUAAAUUAAAUAAAUUUAUUUUAAAAAAAUAUUAAAUUAAAUAAAUUUAUUUUAAAAAAUAUUAAAUUAAAUAAAAAAUAUUAAAUUAAAUAAAAGUAUUUUUCAAAAAUAUUAAUUUUUUUCUCAAAAUCAAUAAAGAGCAUUUUUGGAAAUACUGAACAACUCAAUUUUCAUACUUUUAUUGGGUCUUAGACUCAAUUUGAAGAGUUACAUGGACCUUUUGUUAAUUUAGGGGUCCAUCUACCCUCAAAACAUAAUUCUCCCUUGUUUCAAUAUCAUAUUUGGAUUAUUGAUGAAUUUAAGCCUAACUGAAUUAAUCUAAACUGUAAUUUUGGGCUUGGACGUAUGGAUAUUUUGUUUGGGCUUUGCAUGUUAGAGCAUUUUGGAUUUGGGCUUCCACUCCCUAUUUGAUUUGGUCUGUGAUACUUUGGAUGAACUUGGGGUUACAUUGGUACUGCACCCUAAGGGGUUCAUUUAAUGAAAUUAUUUGGAUAAAUAUUUUUCCAAAUGUAUUUUUAAAAUAAUAAAUUUGAAAUCCAAACAACUUGCAAAGUCUUAUUAAUGAAAUCGAAAAACCGUUCCACAAGCCAAACAAAUAUAAUAUUUUUUUAAUAAAUCAGUGGAAAGUUGAAAAGGAGGUUGAGUGUAGGUAUUGUUAACAACUUAACACUUAAUAUCAUCCAAUGAAUUCGAUCCUAUUCAAUACUAAAAUUAUCAUUAAAGCUAAUUAUAUUUGAUUAAAGUAACUGUUAAGAGAUUUUUUUGUUUAAACAAGGAGGAUUGGAUUGGACGGUUGUAAAGGAUUUAAGAAUUUGUUUUCGCACCGCACAAUCGCUUUAUUAUGAUUUUUAUUUUUUUGGGCAGUCAAAGCACUUCGAAAAUUUCAGUGAUAAGGCCUAGGGUGAGGAUGAAUUGGGAUGAGCCCAAUUUCCCUAAGCUCCACGUCACUGAUUAUAUAAAGACAAAUAAAUAAUGACUUGAGAAGGAAGAGUUGAAAAGAGGUACGAAAGUAAAAGCAAAAGCGCGUUUUGUAUGGUACGGUAGUUUUGAUUGAAUUUCAUCUGGACGUGUUCCAUCUUAAAAUAGUUGUUCAAAAUGAUUCAUAUCCUUUAGGCUGUUCCCGAAAAAUGCUAAGAAAAGGAAAAAAAAAUGUGAAGGAAAAUAGUUUUCUUUAGUUUGGAUGACAUGAAAAAUAAGAUGAAAAAAAAAUAUAAAGGAAAGUAUGAAAGAAAAUAUUGUAAUAUUUUCUUUAUUAUUUUCCUUAAAAAAUAAAAAGGAAAAUAAGGGGAAAAGAGAAGAGCAAAGGGGGGGAAAAUUUUGUCGGGGGAUCUAUUGUGCCCAUUAUUUUUUUCAAUUCUGCUCAGCCUCCUCUCCUUUAGGACUUCAAAGCACCUUGCUACUGUUAAAGGCCAGAAAGAAUUUUAUACAAUCCAGCAAUUUUUUUUAUUUUUUUUAUUUUUAAGAAAAAACCAAGGCAAUUUUUGGAAAUUAUUUUUGAAAACAAUUUUUGAAACUUGAAUUAUUCUUAACCAGUUUUUUUUAAAUAUUUUUUACUAUACUUUAAAUAUAAUUUUUAUAUGUAAUAUUUUACUUUUUUCUAUUAUUUAUCAUUAUUUUUAAGGUAAUUUUUUUAAAAAUAAGUGAAAGUAAUUCAAAUAUAUUAUUUAAAAAUAUCAUAUUUUGUGAUUUUAAGAAAAUCAUUUUAUGUUUUUAAAAAUAUAAAAUUAUUUUCUAUUUUCUAAUUAUUAAACUUAUUUUUUUGAUCUUUUAUUUUAGAAAACAAGAAACUGUUUUAAAAAAUAAUUCAUAAACAUAAUUCGAAACUAUAUCUAUCAUUAUUUCAUAAUAUUGAAUAAAAAUAAAAAUAAAUAACACCUAGCUAAAAAAUGAUAAAAUUUAGGUAUAAAGUAAUAAAAUACAAAAUUAUGAAAACCGACUACACACAUUAGACUUAAUAAUUGGUGGGGUAUUAUGUGCUCUUGGAACUCACCCAAAAAGUAUCAUUUUGGUGCUCUACUAGGACCUUCUUUUCAAUAAAGGUGCAUCAAAUUAACCCUUUUUUUUCUUUUCUUUUUUUUAAUAUAUAUAUAUAUAUAUAUAUAUUGUGCGUGUAACAUGCAGGAUAUAAUAAUCAUUUCUCCAUGUAAAAAUAUAUGAACAUAUUUUAUUUUUAAAUUUUGAUUUCUAAAAUCCUUUUAAAUUUUUUAAGAGCUUUUUAUUAGCUAUAAAUGUUCCCUUGAAAAUAAAAAAUAGUUAUUUACUCAUACAUUUUAUUUGUAUUACAUGAGGAAAAUUUUAUACAUAAAUCUUAUAAUUAUUAAUAAAAAAAAAUAACAGCAAAGACCUUUUAUGAGCAAUAUUUUAUGUCUAAAAAUUCACGUUUUUCAACAAUUUUUUUAUUGGAUUAAUUUAUUUUAUUAUUCAACAAAUUGAUAACCAUUUAAGACAAAUUGUUGAUUUUAUUUUCCUUCUAUUUUUCCUUAUAUUUUUUUUUUGUGGUUAACCAAAUAAAAGAAAAUGAAUUCUUUUUUUUUUUCUCUUAAAUUUUCCAUGGAUAACCAAACAAGUGAAAAAAUUAUAUUAAUUUCCUAACCUUUUUCUUUCCUUCUAUUUUUCCUCCCAAUUUUCUUUCUCUCGCAUUUUCCGAGAACCAAACAGCCCCUUGAUGUUUCAAAUUAUAGUUUUAUUGCAUUUUUAUAAUCAAUAUUUUAAAUUAAAUUAAAAAGUAAGCAAGCAACAUCUUAUCGAUGGUCGGCGGCACCACCAAUCCAUGACGGUGACUGAUUAGUCUGACGGUAUUUUAAUCUGCUCUGCUCUAGAAGUUUCAGGAUAUCCCUGGAAGCCUAGAAUGAGAAACUCGUUUUUUGUCGUUUAGUGUUCGAACCAUGGAAGAAGUUUCCCCGACGCGCUGCCGCCACCGAGUUUUUUCAACAGAUUUAAAACAGCCAACCGCCUACUGAAUUCCAAUCCAUCCGACAUCACACAUAUCUAUCCCUUCCCCCCUCUCUCUAUAUAUAUCCUAUCCAUCUACAGGGUCUCAUUAGGAAAAUUUUCACUCUCAAUUCAUCUUAUUCUUGCUUGGAGCGUGUAGGCAGAAAAGAGCUUAAUUAGUUCGGUGCAAUCACUUGAAUCUGUUGGCGAAGGUUUCAUUUACAAGCAAAUAACGAUGAGAAGAGAAGAUACAGCAGCUUCUCCCGCUUGCAAUUCGUCUCCAAAGUCUGGUUCUGGAAAAUUAUCCAGGAGAAAGGGAGCGGCAUGCAGCCAGCUGCAACGGGUGUUCCGCUACUUUGACAAGAACGGGGACGGAAAAAUAUCUCCGGAGGAGUUGCAGAGUUGUGUAAGAGCAGUGGGAGGGGAGCUGUCAGCAAAGGAGGCAGAAGCGGCAGUGAAGUCAUCGGACAUGGACGGAGAUGGGAUGCUGGGAAUGGAGGAUUUUGAGAUGUUGAUGGAGGCAAACGGAGAGGAGGAGGAGAAGACAAAGGACUUAAAGGAGGCAUUUGGGAUGUAUGAGAUGGAGGGGUCAGGAUGCAUCACGCCUAAGAGUUUGAAGAGAGUGCUGAGUCGACUGGGUGAGUCCAAGACCAUUGAGGACUGCAAAGUCAUGAUUCAUAUGUUUGAUAUCAACGGAGAUGGCGUCCUCAGCUUUGAGGAGUUCUCCGCUAUGAUGCGCUAGUCUUCUUCUUCACUCAAUCCUUCUUCAUCACCCACAGCCAUGAGCCAUCCACCAUCUCGUAAAUUCAUUUGUAUAUAUUUUCUAAACUUUAAUAUCUUUUCAUUUUUUGGAAAUGAAUAAAUCAUGGGAACAUGACUGUUGAUCUUGUUGCCCUCCAAUGCUUAUAAACAUCGACAAUUCAUGUCAUUGUGUGGAUGCUGCAUCAAUAUUUCACAAAGUUUCUUCAUCAGCUUCGCAUUAAAGUUUCCAUUGUACACUCUAAAUUAGAAAUGACCAGCAUCUUCAUGCUCAAAAUUAGAUUCUCUUUGUUAUCUGACCCACUUUCCUGUAAAAGGUGUUAAAAUUAUUCAUGUCCAAAAUCUUCAAAGAAAAAUCCACCCUUUGAGAACAGUAGUAAUGGGCAUGGUACAGAAGCAGUCCAAGAAGAACACAGCACUAACAUCUUAACUAGUGAAAAGGGCGGUUUAUGACCACAACACCUCAUUUACAUAUAUAAAAGAAAAACACAACUAAUUUUAUCAUCUUAUACUCCAUUAAGGGUGACCACGACUUUGCGUGCAGUAGCACGGUCACGGUGCUCACACAGCCAUAUCCCCUGAAGCAGAAAAGGAGGAAAAACUUCAGCACUUCCUGAUAUAGACUAAGAUCGUGGGAAAAUUCAACACAACAAGAAUCAUUGUCGAAAAAUCAAAUCAUAAUAUAAUCAAAUGAAAAAAGAAAAAAAGAAAAAGAAAAUGAGGAAACGACAGAAACAGGAUUCACAAUUCUGCAACUUCAUGCUUUAAUAUCAGGGUAUUACCGCAUUUCACACAAUAUUCUUAUUCUACAACCCAUCACUUCGAUGAAACAGUAAUUGCCUAGGGAUAUGCCAUUCGUUGAAUGGCUAUAUUGACAUGCCAAACCACCCAGUAUGAUGCUGAAACAUGGACAAGCUGUAAUAAUAUUUUAAAAUGGUUAAUGAACUCAAACAUCCAAAUAUGGGAUUUCGCUUGUGGAGGAGAUGGUGCAUUCAUACUAGUUGGCCACCUAUUUAGUAUAACCUCAAAAGGAUGCAAAAACCUUCCAGUCCAAUACAGAAGACACAGUAGCAGAAAGGAAGACGUUAACAUGCAGUACAAUGUAACAAAAUUACUACUGUGACUUUGAGAUUCCUUCUGAAUGAUGGAAACUUUCCCGACCAAUUCCCAGCAUUAACUGCUCAUAAGACUACAAAAACCUUAAAAUUAAGCUAUUUCAAUUGUAAAAUAGGCUAAUAGAAUCCAUUCUUCACCCAAGAUCCUUCCAUGAAAAUCUACAAUGUUGAAGCACACAUUUAUAGAUAUUUAUAUCAUAUAUUAUAAGUUAAGCCAUGCUCCUGAGGCUUAUGACAUCUGCCUCACAUCUUUGGCACCACACAAAAUAAUCCUGCGGAGUGUAUACCUUUCCUUGGGCAUACAGCUAAAACACAAAUCCAGGUAACAAAAUUCAAAGGUUAGUAACUUUCUUAGAACAUGUGUCCAUGUUCCAAGUUGUUUUUGACUUCUUGAGUUUACCAGUACAGGAGUAUCUAAAGCAAUAGGGUUUAAGACGCUAUGCAAAGGCUCAAUUUAAGCAUGUUCUCCAUUGGGAAUUUUCAUUGUAGCUCUUAUGGCUACAUAAUAGUUUCUUCCAGCCUACACAGAAUGAAACCACUUCUGUAACUUUGAUGGAUUAACAUACUUGGGCUUCUAUAUUUUCUUAAAACAUAAAUUUCUUAAAUACCUGCCAAGUUCCCAUGUUUAGCUGUCCAUCAGUAAUUGGAAUCCUGCACAACAAUAAAAACCAAGUAAAUGGUAAUUUGGUAAUGAAAUUUUAUAGACAAAAAAAAAAAAAAAAAAAAAAAAAGCCAAAGAAAAUGAAAUCAUUACGUGAGACUGCAACCAAACAUUGAAGAUUUGAUGUGUGCUGGCAUGUCAUCCGGACCUGAAAAGGUUGCAGGGUUAGAAUCAAUUUUGUGGCAAACUUCUUAUGAACAAUUUCUCUUAUUUGCUUUCCUUUUUUAUCAUUUAUCUAAUAUUUGUCAUUCCUUUCUUGAGUUUCACCCAUGGCAAGUAAAAUGCUUCCACCAAAAUCCAUGUUCAUUGACUUAAAAAAAUAAGAAGUUUAAAGCUUUGUACUGGUUGAUAAGAUUGAUGAGAUUUGGAAAGAAGUUCACAACACAGUCCUUGCAAUACCUUCUAUUGAGGAAAAAAAUUCCCUCAAAAAUGGGUAUGGAAUGUUUAGAUUGCCUCCCAAACACAAGUAGAAAGAGGGGCUUGAUACAGGAAGUUUUAAAAAAAUGUAAACUGCUAUUUUAUGCAUCCAAAAGCACCAGUGCAACAUUCUGUGGUAAGGAGGACAUGCAAAGAGGAAAUAAACAAAGCAUCGGGAAGUAAAUACAUUUCAAGUUUCACUUAGUAUUGGAUAGAGCAUGAAAAAGGGCUCAAUUUUUAUCUUUCUGCUGCGAUGGAGUAGCUUUGUUAUUGUUGUUCUGGAUUCGCUUUUCGGAACAUGGUUUUACUAUAUCUCGAUAUUUAAAAAAAAAAAUUAUACAUAAUAUAGAUUUACAAUUUGCUUUUGCAAUUGCAUGAAAACUUGGUAACAUGUAAAUUUAAAUUUGUUUGGGUGAAUUUUAAGAAAUGGGUUGAUCUAUUGAAAAUUACAUAUAUAUAUAUAUAUAUAUAUAUAUAUAUUUUUUUUUGUUUGAUAACCGUGGAUGUCCGGGCCAGUUUACGCGCACCUCAACUAAUCCUGUAGGGCCCUGAAGUUAACGAUCGGGUAAAUCUUCCAGUGGUCCUGAGGGGCUUGAACUAGUGACCAUUGGGGAGCAAACCCAGGGCCGGACCAACUGAGCUACCCCUCGGGGUUGUGAAAAUUACAUAUACAUGUAUAAGCAAAUUAUGAACAAGAAUACAUAGCUUAGAAUAAUAUAAUAUAUCUAGAUAGGUAAAAAAGUAAUGAAACCAAAAUAUCUUAUGCUGUGAGAGAAAUGAUAUUCCCUUAAAGAAAAUGAUAUUUCCAAAUCCUAAAUUGCUUCUAAAUGCAAAAUGAGAAAUCAGAGAUAACAUCCAAGUGAUUCAGGAAGGAUUACAGGUAUUUUCUAAUGCUUAGAAGCAUUUUUCAUACAAAAAUUAAGCAUUUGGUAUAGUUUUAAAAUUACUUUUAAAAAUCUAUAAAAUCAUUUAGACUAGCACUUGGUAGGUACUUUUUUUUUUUUUUUUCCAAAAUCACUCUUUUGUCAUGUAUUGCAUUGCAAAAAACACUAUAAAAAAACACCAUUUAUUUUUGUUUAUAUCUAGAACACUAACUGAUUCUCCAUUGAAGUGUUUUUAAUAGAAGUGCUACUAACAGAAGUCCUAGAAGCUAAAAGUGUUUUUACUCGAAUAACUCCCUAAAUGGGCCCUAAGAAACAAAAUUCUUUCUCCAAUUUAAGAAAUGAAAAUCAACUGAAGAAUCAGAUCAAGAAAUCUAUUUCUCUAAUUUGGAGAAAUGAAUCCCAUACAAACCUUCCAGUGUAUGCUUCCAAGGUGCAGAUCUUCCCUGAAAUUAUAAAAUCAAACACCAUAUAAAAAUCACUUUUCAAAUAAACUACUCUGCCAAAGCAAGCACAGAAGGGAAAAAUUAACCUCUGGAACUAUUUUGCUGAGGAAUGUCUCAGUGUCAUCUCGAACGUCCGAGUCGUAAUUUUCAUUUAUAGUCAGAGAAGCACUUGUGUGCUGAACUGGAAAAGCUCAACCCAAUAAGGUAAAAUCAUCAGAUGUUGAACGUCAAAGGGGAUUUUUCAUAUGCCGUCUGAAAAGGAAUUGGAUCACUCACUGAAUAGAUGAGCAAGGCCACAUUUGAAUCCUGACAGGUCUUGCCCAAUUUCCUUCAAUAUCUAAUGAAGAAAAUCUUAAAUUAACACGAGUAUAAACAGAUAAAAUCUACUGGAUACAAUUGGUGCUUCAUUGAAAUUAUUUUCUUAGCUCAGGACGAUUAUCACCUGUCUCAAACAUGCAAAAACACUUAUCCUCUCUCACCGUUUAAACAAGACAAGUAAGCAGUGAAGAAACGCAUUUUAAUUUUUUUUUUUGAAAAAUUAAAAAUAGCACAAAUUAAUUAUGAAAUUAAUAACAAGUAGAAGCAGACCCAAGGCAAAAUUUAGGGAAUUCGGUAGCGAUGAAGUUAGGGAAUUGAAUUGAAUGGAUUAAAAUGAGAACUCGGAAGUCUAGGGAGGUGGAAUUUCAGAUGGACUAAAGAAGAGGUUUUUCAAUCCAGAGGAGGAAAAAGAAAGAAAAGAAAAAGAUUGGGAGGAUGAUACCUUAGGGGUGAUGUGGUGACAGCCUCGCCUCUGAGGAGGAAGAGUGAUGGUCUUCUGGGCCCACUUGGGAGCAGGAAUAGCAGCCAUGGAGGUAGAAUCUGUAGGAUCGUUGAAGGAGGUGGGAGUGUAGAGCGAUUUCACACGGAUCUGAUGCGAUGUUAGUGGUGGUUUUGCACCCAAGCUCAGCAGUGAGGCUUGCAUGGGUACUUCCUCCUUGAACUUAUACGUUAUAAUUAGCCCCAAUUUCCAAGCGCUGGGUCGAAUUAGGGCUACCACUGCAAGGGCCAACGCCAAUACCAGAAAUGCUCCCGCACUUUUAAUGGGGCGUGCAACACAUCUUCUUUCAUUCAUUUGGGCCCUUUUCGGCCUAUGGGUGGUGUGUGUGUGACCGCUUCAGUUGUUGCUUGCGCACCAACAAGUGGCCUAUAAAAUUUGACACGCUUUGGCAGGGGGUUUCUACAAAACUACAAGAUUUUUUAAAAAAUAUUUAUUAAAAUGCCGUUGCCCCAAAAUAUUUCUAAAACUACAACAAUUUGACCUGAGUUGAAAAGACGAGUUCUUAUUUUAUAUUGAACUUGUCUUUUCAACAUACGAGUUCAGUGCAAAAUUUAAAACUCAUUUGUUAAAAAAACGAGUUCAAUGUAAACUUAGGACUCGUCUUUUCAAUAGACGAGUUACUGAAAAGACAAUUUCAGUAUAAAAUUCAAAACUCGUUUAUUGAAAAGAUGAGUUCAGCAUAAAAUUUGAACUCGUCUUUUCAAUAGACAAGUUCAUUGAAAAGAUGAGUUUACAUAUCAGCUAAAAUUUGCAUACCUCUACUAAGUAACUGAGAUAUUUGAUUCAUAUAAGUAAGUGUCACACUCAAAUGGAUAAAAAAAUUUCAUAGGGAUAUACACUCAACCAUUACAUGUUAAUAUUAUCCAUCUAUGAAUUUUAAACCAAUAACAAAACUUGUCCUGAAAUUUUUUCCACAAGUUAUUACCAAUAAACUAGAUAGGAUCCAUGAAAAUGUCCAUUACCAGUAAAAUAUCACAUUCUUGUAAAAUGUUUAGUGUAACAAUCUCAGAUGGAAUAUUAAACUCCAAUUUUCCCCUACCAUAACUAACCAUCAUUUUGGCAUCAUCUUGAAGCAAACCGUAAAACACCCUCUGGCCCCUUUAUGGUAUAAUUGUCUUGGUCAGGAAACUUAGUUGCAUCACAUUUUAGACGAAAUAUGUAACAAACAACUGCCCCAAUUUAAUAUGCAUUCUUGGCAUUUACCAAAGAUUUUUCUAUCCUUACCCACAAAACUUAUUAAAACCAAAUGAGAAAUGUUCAGUUGCUAAAAUUCACUUCAAUACCCAUCAUUCAGUACUUAUCCUAUCCUCAUUCAAAUCACUAUAAUUUGUAUGUUAAAUAGAAAUCAUGUUUAAUUUCAAUACAUUAAAGAACCAAUGAGAUUUAGGUUGAUGUAGAAUUCCACUCUGCUUCAUCUAAAUAACCAGAACGAUUUGGGACCAUUAACUUUGCUUGCCUUGCAAACUCCACUGUCCGAAUAUUAAUUUAGUUACAUUUUGUCAUCAUCUU